Dicentrarchus labrax (European seabass) is the source of this 2314-nucleotide long non-coding RNA. RefSeq lists it as uncharacterized. The transcript has 3 exons. Lineage: Eukaryota; Metazoa; Chordata; Actinopteri; Moronidae. The record is from RefSeq and is a predicted model, not a curated record.
GGUUAGGGUUAGGAUAGAGGAAGUGGAUGAGUCUCGGCACCGCGCAGCGGUGUCGAGGCUCCAUGCACGGGCCAUCCUGCUCCAGAUCAGGAAAGCUCUAUUUGGAGUUGAGGCCUUUGGGGUGUAAUGUUUCUAAUUUCAUAAUCCAGGUCCUCUCGGCUCGGGUUCUCUGUGUGGCAUUCCAGCUAGGGUCCAUCUGGAUGAUCGUGGCCCGGACAGACGACCAUCCAUGGGCCAGAAAAUGGCUGACCAGAGGGUGACCGCUGGCCUGGAAUAGGUGGUCACAAAGGGGAGAACCUCUGCCGUGUCUAAUGGCCUUGUCUCCAGGAAGGUGCUGAGGGCCUUACGCCGGAAGGAGCGUGAAUAUCCCCUGGUGGCCAGAGCCCUGAAGAGCGUCUUUGUGGCCGCCAUAAAAUCACUCUUAUGAGUGCAUAUUCUGUGGAACCGAAGUAAUUGGGAUUUCAGUAUGCCCCUAUAUGUGUGUUUUGGGUGGUGACUGUUUUUAAAGAGCAGAGCAUGGGUGUCUGUUUCCUUGAAGAAGACUUUAAUAUCUAAUUUGUUAGUCUGUUUGAAGUUUGUUCCUUUAUAGGUGGUGGUGUCCAAGAAGUCGACUGACGUGGUGCUGGUGGUGGACUUCAGUGUGAUGGACGGGUUGUGGUUAUUCAGGGUUGCCAGGGCGGAGGUCUCCCAUUCAGCCAUGAAAAUGUUGGCAUACGCCGGUGCAAAUUUCUUGCCCAUAGCCGUGCCUUUUAUUUGCAAAUAAAAUUUGUUGUCAAAUUCAAAAUCAUUCCUCCUCAGGUUAAUGGCAAGGAGUUGUAAUAAUUCCUUAUCUGGUCUUUUUUUAUCUGGAAAUUUUGUGAAAAUAUUCUUUAUGGCCUGAAUGCCUUCAUCAAUGUCAAUAUUAGUGUAUAAGCUGUCGACGUCCAUGGUGAACAGGAUGGAGUCGGGGGGGAUUUGGAGUUGUUUGACUGUAUUAACAAAAUGGUAGGUGUCCUUGAGAUAGCCCAAAUGUUUAUUGGAAAGGGGAUUGAUGUAGUAAUCAAUAAAUUGGGCCGUAUAGUAGGUCUCACUAUCACAAUCGGAGACAAUGGGUCUCCCAGGUGGGAUUUCGAAUGGAACACUCCAUUUUGAGGGUUCUUUAUGGAUCUUGGGUAACAGGUAAAACAAUCUGGGCCGGGGGAUUGGAUUACCCAGCAGGUAGGUGUAUUGUUUUUUAUUUAUGAAUUUUUUGUCUAAUAAUGAUUGAAUAAUUGGUUGCACCAUUUUUUUAGUUUCAGGGUAGAUAGGUUCCUUUAAGACAGAAUAAUACUUUGUGUCUGUUAGCUGUCUGUUACCCUCAAAUAAAUAUUGUUCCCUGUCCAUCAGUACUACUGCACUGCCUUUAUCUGCUGGCUUUAUGAUGAUGUUUUUGUUUUCUUUUAGGUCCUUAAGGGCUUCAAUUUCAUCUUGGUUGAGAUUGUUUUUGAUUGGGAGUGGCUGGAAAUUGUUUUCAAAAUAAUUAAUGUCAGCUUGGAUGAGGUCAGUGAUAUCUGGUGGCAAUUUAGAGAGGGGGGGGCUCCAAUCAGAUUUUUGGGUAAAGGGGGUGAAAAUUACAUCUUUUUUGUUUUGAAAAUAAACAUGGAGUUUGAUUCUCCUAUGAUAUUGCUGCAGGUCCCAUCUGCUUUGCUCAAUGAUGUUGCUCUGGCUCCCCCUAGUGGGGAUGAAAGAGAGGCCCCUGUCCAGGAGAGUGAACUGGGCCUGGGUUAAUUUGAAUGUCUGUGAUAACACCAGUACAUUUUUUGACCCCUCCUGAGAGUGCAGGCUUAUGGGGAUGAGCAUUUUAAAUACCCCGUCCAGUGUUCAAACAUGUGUUUGGCGGUGGCUUUUGUCCAAUGUAUGUUAUCUGCCCCAGUUUCAAAAGAUUUGGAGGGCAGUCUGGGGAUGAAGAGGCAGUUUUUUUGAAUAUGUGCGUUCAGGUGGACCAGGCAGGACUGCUCUUUGAGGGGUAAGUGACGGGAAUAAUUGAUUAAAGGCACCCAAACGGCCGCUUGGGGGAAUUUAGCUUCAGCUGCCUCCACUGUGGCUAAUAGCUGCUGUGUCAGGAUUGUUUUGGAUGCAGCGUUUCUGUUGUUUAUACCAAAAGAGAGGACCAAUUUCUCUAAUUUGGUGGAGGUGGUGGCCUUAUCAAUUAGCGUUUUAGCAUGUGCUAAUGUCGCUCCUGGGUAGCUGUCAAUUUGUAGGUUGGUGCUUUCAAAUGGAGGCAUUUUGGCCAAGUUAGAGUCUCCAAUGAAGGCCCACUCUUUGCCAAUGCUGAGGCCCCAAUCCUGUAUUUUAU